UUCCAGUUUAACAGCGGAAAGGGAUAGGAAAAUGUUGAAUAUCUGGCAAUGAUAGGGAAGACACGCAGGAGCUCGGAGCAACGGAACUGACAGCCCGUCGUUCUCGAUUCCCAGCGGCUGCGAAAAUGAUGUCUCUGUUGCAUUUUGUAAAUGAUACAAGAAACUAUUUUCUGAUCAGAGAUGUUAUUGCACACCCCUGGGACAGGAUUUAAAAGCUGUGUCUGAGGAAACAGUUGCAGUCAGGAGAUUACUGACCUGGUGAAGAAUGGGUACUCACAUUAGCUUUCCCGAAGACAUUUGAGAGAGGGGACAGAGCCGGAGAUAGAUUUGAAUGAAUGGGUUAUAACCACUGGCCUCCCCUGAGCUCAAUGUUUCAGUGCAUUUCGAAUGAUGGGAGCUGAGGAAUUCAGAAUCCAUGUUACAAAACACUGCUUUACAUGAAGAAUGUUGGAGACCUGGAAUUCUGUCUCUCUCCCAUGAUAUUGGUAGUCAAGGCCAUUAAGCAACAAAGCAGACUCCUAUGCACUGUCUGCAAAGAAGACCCCAAGCUUCCAGUUGCUCACCAUUUCAAAACAUCACUGUGUACCCAGCAUCGCUGUCUCAGGCGCACUGCAGUCCUCCAGUGAAGCUCAGCACAAGCUGGAAGAACAGCACUUCAUUUUCCACUUGGGCACCCUGCAGCCUUCAGGACUCAAUACUGAGUGUACGAAUUUUAGAGUCUGAAGACCUCCUUCCGUGCACAUUGCCUCUCCCGCACUCAGGCACUGUCUUACCAUGGGUUGCUUUCAGUACAGGCAAUCCACCUUCACCCACUCAUAGUCCGCAUUAUCAUGUAGCUUUUAUUCUUUCCUGUGUUCCCACCCCACCCCCCCCUUUCUCUGUCUAUGCUCCAUCUCCACCUAUCCAUUGUCAACUCCCCUUCCCAUCUCUUCUUUAUAUGACUUGGUAUCAAGUGUUUUCACUCAGUGAAGCCCUUUGACAAAAGUUAUUAGGACAAGUUUAUAAUUCAGCACAGCCAUACUGAAAGGUGUUGGGAAGGUGCUAGUCAUGGACGAGGAAGUGAUCUCCUCUACUGGUCACAAAAUUACCUUUCUGUUCUGCAUUGUAAGAAAGGGUCCUACUUUUACCAAAACUUCACUAGCAAUUGACAAAAAUGCCACUUGGGAGAUGAAAUGAACUGUAUAAAAGUGAAGUGCCUUUGAAAGAUAAUUGGAUUGACCAUCUGAAAGCUAUGUUUCAGGAAACAGCAGCAGAGUGGUUUUAAUUCUAAGACACAGCAAAGGCAGGAAUCUUCACAAUCUCACCACAUCCAAAAGUGCAUGAAAGUGAAUUAAGUAAUGAUGAAUUUGUGGAUUGGGGAUAAGGUGAGCCAUCCCCUCAUUCCUGACGAAGAGCUUAUGCUCAAAAGAUUGACUCUCCUGCUCCUUGGAUGCUGCCUGACAGGCUGUGCUUUUCCAGCACGACACUCUCAUCUCUGAAUUUGUGGUAACUAGUAUGUGCCCAGCAGGAGAGCUGCUCUAUUAUUGACAUAUAGGAACAGAUCAGUUUUGGCUGUUUUCAAACACUAGGCUGACUCCAUUACUCUUGUUCCAUGGCUUCAGAUUCAUUUAUCCAAGAGGGCUAACAGGGUUUGGAGACAGUUAGGACUGCAGAAGCCAGAGUCAAUAGAUGUGGAACUGGAAAAGCACAGCAAGUCAGACAGCAUCUGAGGAGCAGGAAAGUCAACAUUCCAGACUGAAACACUUCAUGAGGACGA
Molecule: non-coding RNA, 1756 nt
Organism: Chiloscyllium plagiosum (whitespotted bambooshark)
Lineage: Eukaryota; Metazoa; Chordata; Chondrichthyes; Orectolobiformes; Hemiscylliidae
Source: RefSeq, a predicted model, not a curated record